This 465-nucleotide ribosomal RNA is filed under the name Vreelandella stevensii. Its description in RNAcentral is "partial 16S ribosomal RNA". It matches the Rfam family "Bacterial small subunit ribosomal RNA", at positions 338 to 795 of the family's 1533-position model. Lineage: Bacteria; Pseudomonadati; Pseudomonadota; Gammaproteobacteria; Oceanospirillales; Halomonadaceae. The record is from RNAcentral.
CCUACGGGAGGCUGCAGUGGGGAAUAUUGGACAAUGGGGGGAACCCUGAUCCAGCCAUGCCGCGUGUGUGAAGAAGGCCCUCGGGUUGUAAAGCACUUUCAGUGAGGAAGAACGCCUGGUGGUGAAUACCCAUCAGGAAAGACAUCACUCACAGAAGAAGCACCGGCUAACUCCGUGCCAGCAGCCGCGGUAAUACGGAGGGUGCGAGCGUUAAUCGGAAUUACUGGGCGUAAAGCGCGCGUAGGUGGCUUGAUAAGCCGGUUGUGAAAGCCCCGGGCUCAACCUGGGAACGGCAUCCGGAACUGUCAAGCUAGAGUGCAGGAGAGGAAGGUGGAAUUCCCGGUGUAGCGGUGAAAUGCGUAGAGAUCGGGAGGAAUACCAGUGGCGAAGGCGGCCUUCUGGACUGACACUGACGCUGAGGUGCGAAAGCGUGGGUAGCAAACAGGAUUAGAUACCCCAGUAGUC